This 158-nucleotide microRNA precursor is filed under the name Pelobates cultripes (western spadefoot toad). The record is from RNAcentral. Lineage: Eukaryota; Metazoa; Chordata; Amphibia; Anura; Pelobatidae.
CGCCCCCUAUACGUCAUCAUUGAGUAAACUUUGACCCGGAACCUCACAGUCAGCAGACACUUUCUGGGAGGGAGGGUCUGCUGCUGAUUGGGUGGAAUGUGUCUGCUGGCUGUGAGGUUCCGGAUCAAAGUUUACUCAAUGAUGACGUAUAGGGGGCG